UGGUGGAGUGAUUUGUCUGGUUAAUUCCGAUAACGAACGAGACUCUGUCCUGCUAACUAGGUUGUGUUUUUCUCGGGUUGGUGUUCUGGUGUUCCUUCUCGGGGCGCCGGCCCAAUCCACUUGUGAACACAACACUCUUCUUAGAGGGACUGGCGGCUGUUAGCCGCACGAGAUAGAGCAAUAACA
This 186-nucleotide ribosomal RNA is filed under the name uncultured eukaryote. RNAcentral describes it as "partial 18S ribosomal RNA". It matches the Rfam family "Eukaryotic small subunit ribosomal RNA", at positions 1299 to 1458 of the family's 1831-position model. The record is from RNAcentral.